GGCGUGCUUACACAUGCAAGUCGAACGGAAAGGCCCUGCUUUUGUGGGGUGCUCGAGUGGCGAACGGGUGAGUAACACGUGAGUAACCUGCCCUUGACUUUGGGAUAACUUCAGGAAACUGGGGCUAAUACCGGAUAGGAGCUCCUGCUGCAUGGUGGGGGUUGGAAAGUUUCGGCGGUUGGGGAUGGACUCGCGGCUUAUCAGCUUGUUGGUGGGGUAGUGGCUUACCAAGGCUUUGACGGGUAGCCGGCCUGAGAGGGUGACCGGCCACAUUGGGACUGAGAUACGGCCCAGACUCCUACGGGAGGCAGCAGUGGGGAAUAUUGCACAAUGGGCGGAAGCCUGAUGCAGCAACGCCGCGUGCGGGAUGACGGCCUUCGGGUUGUAAACCGCUUUCGCCUGUGACGAAGCGUGAGUGACGGUAAUGGGUAAAGAAGCACCGGCUAACUACGUGCCAGCAGCCGCGGUGAUACGUAGGGUGCGAGCGUUGUCCGGAUUUAUUGGGCGUAAAGGGCUCGUAGGUGGUUGAUCGCGUCGGAAGUGUAAUCUUGGGGCUUAACCCUGAGCGUGCUUUCGAUACGGGUUGACUUGAGGAAGGUAGGGGAGAAUGGAAUUCCUGGUGGAGCGGUGGAAUGCGCAGAUAUCAGGAGGAACACCAGUGGCGAAGGCGAUUCUCUGGGCCUUUCCUGACGCUGAGGAGCGAAAGCGUGGGGAGCGAACAGGCUUAGAUACCCUGGUAGUCCACGCUGUAAACGGUGGGUACUAGGUGUGGGGUCCAUUCCACGGGUUCCGUGCCGUAGCUAACGCUUUAAGUACCCCGCCUGGGGAGUACGGCCGCAAGGCUAAAACUCAAAGGAAUUGACGGGGCCCCGCACAAGCGGCGGAGCAUGCGGAUUAAUUCGAUGCAACGCGUAGAACCUUACCUGGGUUUGACAUGGAUCGGGAGUGCUCAGAGAUGGGUGUGCCUCUUUUGGGGUCGGUUCACAGGUGGUGCAUGGCUGUCGUCAGCUCGUGUCGUGAGAUGUUGGGUUAAGUCCCGCAACGAGCGCAACCCUUGUUCACUGUUGCCAGCACGUUAUGGUGGGGACUCAGUGGAGACCGCCGGGGUCAACUCGGAGGAAGGUGGGGAUGACGUCAAGUCAUCAUGCCCCUUAUGUCCAGGGCUUCACGCAUGCUACAAUGGCUGGUACAGAGAGUGGCGAGCCUGUGAGGGUGAGCGAAUCUCGGAAAGCCGGUCUCAGUUCGGAUUGGGGUCUGCAACUCGACCUCAUGAAGUCGGAGUCGCUAGUAAUCGCAGAUCAGCAACGCUGCGGUGAAUACGUUCCCGGGGCUUGUACACACCGCCCGUCAAGUCAUGAAAGUUGGUAACACCCGAAGCCGGUGGCCUAACCGUUGUGGGGGAGCCGUCGAAGGUGGGACUGGUGAUUAGG
Molecule: ribosomal RNA, 1430 nt
Filed under: uncultured organism
Description: 16S ribosomal RNA
Rfam family: Bacterial small subunit ribosomal RNA
Source: RNAcentral